CAGCAGCCGCGGUAAUACGAAGGGGGCUAGCGUUGUUCGGAUUUACUGGGCGUAAAGGGCGCGUAGGCGGGCGAAUAAGUCAGGGGUGAAAUCCCAAGGCUCAACCUUGGAACUGCCUUUGAUACUGUUUGUCUUGAGUCCGGGAGAGGUGAGUGGAACUGCGAGUGUAGAGGUGUAAUUCGUAGAUAUUCGCAAGAACACCAGUGGCGAAGGCGGCUCACUGGCCCGGAACUGACGCUGAGGCGCGAAAGCGUGGGGAGCAAACAGGAUUAGAUACCCCUGUAGUCCCUGUCUCUUAUAC
RNAcentral lists this ribosomal RNA (301 nucleotides) under uncultured bacterium. RNAcentral describes it as "partial 16S ribosomal RNA". It matches the Rfam family "Bacterial small subunit ribosomal RNA", at positions 509 to 807 of the family's 1533-position model. The record is from RNAcentral.